RNAcentral lists this ribosomal RNA (292 nucleotides) under uncultured bacterium. RNAcentral describes it as "partial 16S ribosomal RNA". It matches the Rfam family "Bacterial small subunit ribosomal RNA", at positions 505 to 796 of the family's 1533-position model. The record is from RNAcentral.
GUGUCAGCCGCCGCGGUAAUACGGAGGGUGCAAGCGUUAAUCGGAAUUACUGGGCGUAAAGCGUGCGUAGGCGGUUCGUUAAGUCAGAUGUGAAAGCCCCGGGCUUAACCUGGGAACUGCAUUUGAAACUGGCGGACUAGAGUUGAGUAGAGGGGAGUGGAAUUUCAGGUGUAGCGGUGAAAUGCGUAGAUAUCUGAAGGAACACCAGUGGCGAAGGCGACUCCCUGGACUCAAACUGACGCUGAGGUACGAAAGCGUGGGUAGCAAACAGGAUUAGAUACCCCCGUAGUCC